AGAUGGAUUGGUGCCUUCGGGAACUCUGAGACAGGUGCUGCAUGGCUGUCGUCAGCUCGUGUUGUGAAAUGUUGGGUUAAGUCCCGCAACGAGCGCAACCCUUAUCCUUGUUUGCCAGCGAGUAAUGUCGGGAACUCCAGGGAGACUGCCGGUGAUAAACCGGAGGAAGGUGGGGACGACGUCAAGUCAUCAUGGCCCUUACGAGUAGGGCUACACACGUGCUACAAUGGCGCAUACAGAGGGCAGCCAACUUGCGAAAGUGAGCGAAUCCCAAAAAGUGCGUCGUAGUCCGGAUUGGAGUCUGCAACUCGACUCCAUGAAGUCGGAAUCGCUAGUAAUCGUGGAUCAGAAUGCCACGGUGAAUACGUUCCCGGGCCUUGUACACACCGCCCGUCACACCAUGGGAGUGGGCUGCAAAAGAAGUAGGUAGUUUAACCUUCGGGGGGACGCUUACCACUUUGUGGUUCAUGACUGGGGUGAAGUCGUAACAAGGUAGCGCUAGGGGAACCUGGCGCUGGAUCACCUCCUUAUGCGAUGAU
This 539-nucleotide ribosomal RNA is filed under the name Vibrio parahaemolyticus. Its description in RNAcentral is "bacterial SSU rRNA". It matches the Rfam family "Bacterial small subunit ribosomal RNA", at positions 1004 to 1533 of the family's 1533-position model. Lineage: Bacteria; Pseudomonadati; Pseudomonadota; Gammaproteobacteria; Vibrionales; Vibrionaceae. The record is from RNAcentral.